This is a non-coding RNA of Arachis ipaensis, 1623 nucleotides long. The record is from RefSeq and is a predicted model, not a curated record. Lineage: Eukaryota; Viridiplantae; Streptophyta; Magnoliopsida; Fabales; Fabaceae.
UUUGAAUUAGAAUUGUGAAUUUUAUCAAUGAUGUCAGAAUUCUGUUUGUUUAACAGUGAACACCAUGUUUGAAUCAUGGGUUCAAUGACACGCCUCACAUUAAUAAGCUUACUGUGAAAUAGUUGUAAUUCAAAUGCAUAGAGUAGAUGUAUAUUGUGGUGUGGUGUAGUGUGGAUCAAGAUCAUAGCAACAGGAAAUAUUCUUUUUUUAAUUAACUUUAAUUACCAUAUAAUUUUAGUAUAUUCAAUUAUUCAUCAUUUAUUGUAAUUUUGUUGCCAAAUUAAGCUGAAGUAAUCAACAAUGUUAAACCAGACAUAUAUACUUAUCAUUUGUUAUCUUACGGAUUUUUAAAGUAGAUCACUAUUCAUAUCUUCUAAAGGUAUGUGCACAAUAAGACUUAUAUAUACAUGAAUAUAUGAGUGUAUAAAUUAAUAUUAUCUAUGGAAUCCAAAUUCAAGAAUUACUAAUUUUCAUUAUUAGCUAGCAUUAUAUUCUCUGAAUGCUUAGUUUCCAUGUAGUCAAUUGGCGCUCAAUCCUCACCAUGAAUAGUACAAGGUAACUAUUUCUUCCCUCUGUUUCUCUGUUCUUAUGAUAAGGGCUAUUAUUUUGGUUUCCUGGCUGUGAAUCUGUUCUUGUGUUGCAGAUGUGAAAAUGAAAGUUUAAAUUUGGGCAUAUUAAAUUUAGGAAUAUGUUAGGAUCCAAUAUUUUUACCGAAAAAAAAAACUGAGAGAAUUGACUUGUUGUGAAUCUGUUCUUGUGAAUCUAUUCCUGUGUUGCAGAUUGUGUAUCAUCAAGUUUAAUUGUGCUUGCUCUGAAAAUAAUAUAUAUCACAACAUAACUUUCUCUCCAAAUUCAACUGUCUUCUUUUUUCUUUUUUUAUUUUUCCCCCAAUAACCGUUGGUGCUUGUAUUACUAUGCUAAAAAUAAGAAUAUCUUCAAGUUAAAUUUAAGUGUCAGCAUUAUUGUUUGCCAUGUAUGUAAGCUUGUAACUAUAGUUUCUAUGUGUAUAUAUAAAUCAUGUGAGAUAGAGAAAAUAGAAAGAAAGAAAUGGUGAAUAGUUUGCUCUGAAAUUAAAGAAUCUUGUUUAAUUAGUACUCAUCUAGCAUUUUGUAUUUUGUUGCUUUGGGUUUAGAGUCAGUUAACCUUCUCUAAUUUGAUUGCAUUUAUUUUGUUUUGUGUCAUGUGACAGAGCCUUGAGCAAAUUGGUAACAGAGCAGAACGCCUUAGGGUUAAAUCAGAUAUAUAUUUAUAUUCAAGUACUGAUAUUGAGUGGUCAGAGCAAAAGGUUAAGUUGAAUGAUGCUGAGCACAAGUUAAAAGAUCAAAGACGUCAACUAAAGGUUCAACAGAAAAGAAUUGGUUCUACUAAAAAGACAAUUCAUGCUUUGUAUAAAAGGUUGAAUCUCCCACUUUCUUCAACCUUGUCUGAUCCUGCAGAAGAUGAGCUUGGGACAGGCUCUAAUGAUGAUGAGGAUGAUAACAUAAGUGAUUGAUGUCAGGAGUAUAUAUUUUUUCUGAUUUAGAUUAAGGAAUUUUUAGGUGAAUUAGUUAGUACAUUUUAUUAUAUUCAUGAUAUUUGACCUUUUUAAAGGCUUUCUUUGUUUUAGUUUAAGUAUUUUUUUCU